GACGAACGCUGGCGGCGUGCUUAACACAUGCAAGUCGAACGGAAAGGCCCUGCUUUUGUGGGGUGCUCGAGUGGCGAACGGGUGAGUAACACGUGAGUAACCUGCCCUUGACUUUGGGAUAACUUCAGGAAAAUGGGGCUAAUACCGGAUAGGAGCUCCUGCUGCACGGUGGGGGAUGGAAAGUUUCGGCGGUUGGGGAUGGACUCGCGGCUUAUCAGCUUGUUGGUGGGGUAGUGGCUUACCAAGGCUUUGACGGGUAGCCGGCCUGGGAGGGUGACCGGCCACAAUGGGACUGCGAUACGGCCCAGACGCCUACGGGAGGCAGCAGUGGGGAAUAUUGCACAAUGGGCGGAAGCCUGAUGCAGCAACGCCGCGUGCGGGAUGACGGCCUUCGGGUUGUAAACCGCUUUCGCCUGUGACGAAGCGUGAGUGACGGUAAUGGGUAAAGAAGCACCGGCUAACUACGUG
RNAcentral lists this ribosomal RNA (468 nucleotides) under uncultured bacterium. RNAcentral describes it as "partial 16S ribosomal RNA". It matches the Rfam family "Bacterial small subunit ribosomal RNA", at positions 28 to 507 of the family's 1533-position model. The record is from RNAcentral.